This 1253-nucleotide long non-coding RNA is filed under the name Homo sapiens (human). Its description in RNAcentral is "FAM13B antisense RNA 1". The record is from RNAcentral. Lineage: Eukaryota; Metazoa; Chordata; Mammalia; Primates; Hominidae.
UUACCUACCGUUGGAACCGCGAUGCCCCGUUCCCUGGCCGCGGCCGCUUCUCCAGGACCCGCGGCGACGGCAAGAGGGCGAGAACUGAGGCCCCAAGUGGCUCCGCGGCCGAGAAGCCUCUUCCUGGGGCGGCCGCUGACGGGAGGUUAAAGCUACGGCUGUGGCGCGGGGCCAGCCCGCAGGUGGCAGUAAAGUGUUUUGUCCAAACUAAAUUACAACGACUGCUUCCCAAUAGAUGGAAGCAAAGCGUCUGGACGAAGGAGAGCUUUUUUCUCAUGGUGCUGCUGUGUUAGCCUAGUGACAGCUCUGUAUGGCCCACACCUGGUCCACAGGAAGCUCUCAGGCACCUCUUGCCCGAACAAACUUGGGAGUACAGGCUAAUCCCAGUGCAGAUUCAACAUUCCUCUACUCUGCUGCCAAAACAGCCGCCAGCCUGUGGGAGUCAGACACAGGCCCACGGUGCCCCUCAGACUGCAGGAGGUACAAGUCAAGUGCUCUGAGCAGAUCCAUUGAAGGCCCACUCCCUCGACUUGAAGUAAAAGGCAGGCAGGCACCUGUGGUAAGAAUCACAGCUCACCAGCAACAGUCUCCAAAGACAUUGUCCUCAAUAAUUCUGGUUUGGCCUUUUAUAACUAAAUAACUGAGUAUUUAAUCUACCUGCUUUGUCUAAAUCCUCUGAAAUUUCUAGAGGGGGUCUAUCUCAGAAAUUACUUUAGUUUUUUGGUGGAUGGAGGGAAGAAGAUGGUUUCUUUUAUAAUAAUCUUGUUGCUUCAGUUAAAACAGUGGUUCUCAACUGCGACAAUUUUGGGGGACCAUGUGUGCAGACAUUUUUGGUUUUUUUUUAAACUUUUUUUUUCCUUCUGAAUUCAGGAUCUGCUGAAUACAGACAUUUUUGAUUGUCACCACUGGAGAGGUGCUAUUGGCUGGUGGGAGAAGGUCAAGGAUGCUGGUAAACAUCCUUUACGGCACAGGACAGCCCCUACAGCAAAGAACAGCAAUUCUGUUUGUUACAGAGAUGAGAGAAUACCUCACUAAAAGAAUACUUCAAAAUUACAUCACUUUUUCUUCUUUUUUUCCUACAAAUUCUUUACCUGUAGAUGGAAACGUCACAUUUCAAUAUAUCAAUAGAGUCAAAAAUAGCAUUUGCAAUAGCUAUUUGGCCAGGAUGAGAAGUGACUGGUAUAGACCAAUCCUUUGUGUUUCCAAGACUCCUUCUGGAGAUGAGGCCAUGCCAGGAAAAUUACUACUUGAGA